RNAcentral lists this ribosomal RNA (927 nucleotides) under Curvularia tuberculata. Its description in RNAcentral is "partial large subunit ribosomal RNA". It matches the Rfam family "Eukaryotic large subunit ribosomal RNA", at positions 1 to 947 of the family's 3401-position model. The record is from RNAcentral. Lineage: Eukaryota; Fungi; Ascomycota; Dothideomycetes; Pleosporales; Pleosporaceae.
AUUCCAAGUUUUCUAUCCCUGGCUGCGAAAAUAGCAUAUCAAUAAGCGGAGGAAAAGAAACCAACAGGGAUUGCCCUAGUAACGGCGAGUGAAGCGGCAACAGCUCAAAUUUGAAAUCUGGCUCUUUCAGAGUCCGAGUUGUAAUUUGCAGAGGGCGCUUUGGCUUUGGCAGCGGUCCAAGUUCCUUGGAACAGGACGUCACAGAGGGUGAGAAUCCCGUACGUGGUCGCUAGCUAUUGCCGUGUAAAGCCCCUUCGACGAGUCGAGUUGUUUGGGAAUGCAGCUCUAAAUGGGAGGUAAAUUUCUUCUAAAGCUAAAUAUUGGCCAGAGACCGAUAGCGCACAAGUAGAGUGAUCGAAAGAUGAAAAGCACUUUGGAAAGAGAGUCAAACAGCACGUGAAAUUGUUGAAAGGGAAGCGCUUGCAGCCAGACUUGCUUGCAGUUGCUCAUCCGGGCUUUUGCCCGGUGCACUCUUCUGCAGGCAGGCCAGCAUCAGUUUGGGCGGUGGGAUAAAGGUCUCUGACACGUUCCUUCCUUCGGGUUGGCCAUAUAGGGGAGACGUCAUACCACCAGCCUGGACUGAGGUCCGCGCAUCUGCUAGGAUGCUGGCGUAAUGGCUGUAAGCGGCCCGUCUUGAAACACGGACCAAGGAGUCUAACAUCUAUGCGAGUGUUUGGGUGUCAAGCCCGAGCGCGUAAUGAAAGUGAACGGAGGUGGGAACCCGCAAGGGUGCACCAUCGACCGAUCCUGAAGUUUACGGAAGGAUUUGAGUAAGAGCAUGGCUGUUGGGACCCGAAAGAUGGUGAACUAUGCUUGAAUAGGGUGAAGCCAGAGGAAACUCUGGUGGAGGCUCGCAGCGGUUCUGACGUGCAAAUCGAUCGUCAAAUUUGGGCAUAGGGGCGAAAGACUAAUCGAACUUCAUCCCAG